This 590-nucleotide ribosomal RNA is filed under the name uncultured archaeon. RNAcentral describes it as "bacterial SSU rRNA". It matches the Rfam family "Archaeal small subunit ribosomal RNA", at positions 869 to 1458 of the family's 1478-position model. The record is from RNAcentral.
CGGGGGAGCACCCCAACGGGUGGAGCUGACGAUUUAAUUUGGAUUCAACUCCGGAAAUCUUACCGGGACCGACAGCGAUAUGAAGGCCAGGCUGAAGACUUUGCCGGAUUAGCUGAGAGGUGGUGCAUAGCCGUCGUCAGUUCGUACUGUGAAGCAUCCUGUUAAGUCAGGCAACGAGCGAGACCCACGCCCACAGUUGCCAGCGUACUCUCUGGAGUGACGGGUACACUGUGGGGACCGCCGCUGCUAAAGCGGAGGAAGGAAUGGGCAACGGUAGGUCAGUAUGCCCCGAAUAUCCCGGGCUACACGCGAGCUACAAUGGUUGGUACAAUGGGUAUCUACCCCGAAAGGGGACGGGAAUCUCCUAAAACCAAUCUUAGUUCGGAUUGAGGGCUGCAACUCGCCCUCAUGAAGCUGGAAUCCGUAGUAAUCGCGUUUCAACAGAACGCGGUGAGUACGUCCCUACUCCUUGCACAUACCGCCCGUCAAACCACCCGAGUAGGGUCUGAAUGAGAGCGCUUUCUUUGGAGGCGUUCGAAUUUGGGCUUUGCAAGGGGGGUUAAGUCGUAACAAGGUAACCAAGGGCGAAU